This 508-nucleotide ribosomal RNA is filed under the name Plagiognathus chrysanthemi. RNAcentral describes it as "partial 16S ribosomal RNA". It matches the Rfam family "Bacterial large subunit ribosomal RNA", at positions 1829 to 2600 of the family's 2925-position model. Lineage: Eukaryota; Metazoa; Arthropoda; Insecta; Hemiptera; Miridae. The record is from RNAcentral.
GGUCUUUUGUUUAUAUAAAAGAUUUGGCCUGCCCAAUGAUUAUUUUAAUGGCUGCAGUAUUUUGACUGUACAAAGGUAGCAUAAUCACUUGUCUCUUAAUUGGAGUCUGGUAUGAAUGGUUGGAUGAAAAAUUUACUUUCUUUAUUUUAAAUAUUGAAUUUGAUUUUUGAGUUAAAAAGCUCAAAUAUAUUUAUAGGACGAGAAGACCCUAUAGAACUUUACUUUUCUUAUUUUAGUUUUUUAUUUGCAAAUAAUUUUUUAUUAUUUUAAUAUAAGUUUUAUUGGGGUGAUAAAAAAAAUUUUAUAACUUUUUUUAUUUUUUUCAUUUAUUUAUGCUUUUUUGAUCCUUUAUUAUGGAUAAUAAGAUUAAGUUACCUUAGGGAUAACAGCGUUAUUAUUUUAGAGAGUUCAUAUCGAUAAAAUAGUUUGCGACCUCGAUGUUGGAUUAAAAUUAGUGUCAGGUGUAGAAUAUUGAUUACUGGGUCUGUUCGACCUUUAAUUUUUUACA